GUGAAUCAUCGAAUCUUUGAACGCAAAUUGCACUCUCCGGUUUUCCGGGAGAGUAUGCCUGUUUGAGGGUCAGCCUAAAAAAAAUCGACAUUGUUGCUGUUAUUUAAUGGUGACUUUCGUCGGAGAUUGGGUUACCUUAAACCUUUUUUUUUUUUUUUGGUUUAAGCGAUUAAAAAUUUUUUUUCACGUUUCCAUGAAGGUUUCUAAGAUUUUUUUUUUUUAUACGUUUAAGUUUUAUCGAUUUUUUUUUAGAGGUGACGUUCUUUG
RNAcentral lists this unclassified non-coding RNA (267 nucleotides) under Glomeraceae sp. RNAcentral's name for it is "partial contains 5.8S ribosomal RNA and internal transcribed spacer 2". The stretch from base 1 to 72 matches the Rfam family "5.8S ribosomal RNA", at positions 84 to 154 of the family's 154-position model. Lineage: Eukaryota; Fungi; Glomeromycota; Glomeromycetes; Glomerales; Glomeraceae. The record is from RNAcentral.